Molecule: ribosomal RNA, 429 nt
Filed under: Gemmatimonadota bacterium
Lineage: Bacteria; Pseudomonadati; Gemmatimonadota
Description: Gemmatimonadetes bacterium partial 16S ribosomal RNA
Rfam family: Bacterial small subunit ribosomal RNA
Source: RNAcentral
UAGGGAAUCUUCGGCAAUGGACGAAAGUCUGACCGAGCAACGCCGCGUGAGUGAAGAAGGUUUUCGGAUCGUAAAACUCUGUUGUUAGAGAAGAACAAGGACGUUAGUAACUGAACGUCCCCUGACGGUAUCUAACCAGAAAGCCACGGCUAACUACGUGCCAGCAGCCGCGGUAAUACGUAGGUGGCAAGCGUUGUCCGGAUUUAUUGGGCGUAAAGCGAGCGCAGGCGGUUUCUUAAGUCUGAUGUGAAAGCCCCCGGCUCAACCGGGGAGGGUCAUUGGAAACUGGGAGACUUUAGUGCAGAAGAGGAGAGUGGAAUUCCAUGUGUAGCGGUGAAAUGCGUAGAUAUAUGGAGGAACACCAGUGGCGAAGGCGGCUCUCUGGUCUGUAACUGACGCUGAGGCUCGAAAGCGUGGGGAGCAAACAGG